This 46-nucleotide non-coding RNA is filed under the name Schistosoma mansoni. The record is from RNAcentral. Lineage: Eukaryota; Metazoa; Platyhelminthes; Trematoda; Strigeidida; Schistosomatidae.
GCACUGCUGAGGAGUCCCAUAAUAGGACGAAACGGCAGUCCAAUGC